UACGAAGGUCGCGAGCGUUGUUCGGAAUCACUGGGCAUAAAGAGUGCGUAGGCGGUUCCGUGUGUCGGGUGUGAAAGCCCUCGGCUCAACCGAGGAAUUGCGCCCGAUACUGCGGGGCUAGAGUGCCGGAGAGGUGACUAGAAUUCCUGGUGGAGCGGUGAAAUGCGUAGAUAUCAGGAGGAAUGCCGGUGGCGAAAGCGGGUCACUAGUCGGCAACUGACGCUGUGGCACGAAAGCCAGGGGAG
Molecule: ribosomal RNA, 245 nt
Filed under: uncultured bacterium
Lineage: Bacteria
Description: partial 16S ribosomal RNA
Rfam family: Bacterial small subunit ribosomal RNA
Source: RNAcentral